Molecule: transfer RNA, 70 nt
Filed under: Pristimantis sp. n. MN-2019
Lineage: Eukaryota; Metazoa; Chordata; Amphibia; Anura; Strabomantidae
Description: partial tRNA-Gln
Source: RNAcentral
UCCUUAGAAAAGUGGGCAUCGAACCCACAAUUAAGAAAUCAAAAUUCUUUGUAUUUCCAUUAUACUACUC